GGAAAUGCUGCAGAGACCCAGCCGGAAACAGUGCUGGCCAGCUCACGCCUGACCCACCCUUAUUCUAAGCAUAGGGUCUGCCUCUGAAGAGCUAAAGACUUCCUGAAAUUUAAAAAUUAGUGCUUUUAUUUGCUUGUCCUGCUAAGACCGUAGGCAAAGGCCAUCCUCCUCCCAUUGACAGUUUAGAGUGGGCAGAAACAACCACGGUUACCCUAGAAGUAAAUCCAGAGCUGCGGGACGCUGGAGGACAAAACCAACCUUCCAGGGAAGCCGAGGAGAAGUCAUGCCUUCAAAAGACGGAGUUUUGCUCUGUCACCCAGGCUGGAGUGCAAUGGCCCGAUCUCGCCUCACUGCAACCUCCACCUCCCGAGUUCAAGAGAUUCUCCUGCCUCAGCCUCCCAGGCUGGCACUGUGCCUCACAUCUGCAAUCCCAGCAUUUUGGGAGGCCAAGGCGGGCAGAUCACUUGAGGUCAGGAGUUCGAGACCAGCCUGGGCAACAUGGGGCUGGGAAGUUCAAGAUCCAGGCCUCAGAAGAUUUGGGGUUUGGUGAGGGCCAUCUUCUCACUGUAGCCUUACAUGGUGGAAGAGCCACAACAACUGGAUUCUCUUUUCUGAUUUUUGCUGCAGCUUCUGCUUUGUAAUCAUACGGACAGUUGUGCUUGUCAGAGUAACGGUGAAGUCCACAAAACAAAUUUCCACAUCGGCAGUCAAACCCUGUACAAACGAAGAAGUAGAGUCAUUUGAGAACUUGAGGCAAUUAAAAGAAAAAAAAGCCUUAGUCACUAUAGAAAAGGAA
Molecule: long non-coding RNA, 796 nt
Filed under: Homo sapiens (human)
Lineage: Eukaryota; Metazoa; Chordata; Mammalia; Primates; Hominidae
Description: long intergenic non-protein coding RNA 1504
Source: RNAcentral